CGACGCCGCCGCAGCCUGCCUGGAAGGAGGGGUCACCGUUCGGGACAAAAUACCGCAGCGCUCACGCUUCGCCCGCCACUGCCGCCAAGAAGGAGGAGGAGGAAGGAAAGGCCAGGGAGGAGCUUCCCAACGCUGCCGGGCUGGCGCAGAGGGAGGGAUCUGUAUUGAAUUUGUGAUGUCUACUAGACCAGUCCUUCUCAAAUUAUCUCAGGUCCUCCCUUACUUUCUACUGCUCCAAAUGGAUUUUUUGGAAGAAGGAAAGGAGCACUCUGGUACCUUGUAUAUCACAUCUCAGAUCUUGAACUGCAUUAGUCCAAACAAAUCAUAAUCUGAUCAUUCUUUGCCGCCGUUGUUUCAAUGUGACGUCCCAGCCAUUUCCCCAGAGUUUUGUCACCAUCUUCAUCACCCCAUCAAUUGUGACUUCCUCCCAGCCACCUGUCACUCUGUGUUUUGAACUUGACUUUGAAUGCUAAAUUUGAAAUAAGAGGUAUUCCCAAAAUACUUUUGAAGGAUCACAAUUUUAGGUGCUAUUCUUCAAAAAUUAAACUCUGCUGAUUUCAAGUACAGGGCAAGUAACACUAAUUACUAAAAAAUAGAUCAAUUCUAAUAAAUUUUAAGUUGAUAUUUUGUACAGCUAAAUUAAUAGUUACACAAAUUCUUGCAAGGCCUAUAAAUAAGCGUAGGAAUCAAAGUUUGCCCUAAAGCAAUUCAAAAUUUUUUUCCAAGAUAUCAAGUGAGAAUGAUACACUGGAAAAUUUAUCACAUGAGUUAACAAUUUGCAUCAAAUUAGACAGCAUUUAGGAAGCAGAACAAUGGCUUUAAGACAAA
RNAcentral lists this long non-coding RNA (828 nucleotides) under Aotus nancymaae (Ma's night monkey). RNAcentral describes it as "lncRNA (ENSANAG00000039352.1)". The record is from RNAcentral. Lineage: Eukaryota; Metazoa; Chordata; Mammalia; Primates; Aotidae.